Molecule: long non-coding RNA, 175 nt
Organism: Cygnus olor (mute swan)
Lineage: Eukaryota; Metazoa; Chordata; Aves; Anseriformes; Anatidae
Exons: 2
Source: RefSeq, a predicted model, not a curated record
GGACCCCCUUGCCAAUCAUCACAACACAGCCUGCACACACUCCAUCACCACCAAGACCUACACCAAGUUCAGGCCAUGCCUCCUGCAGUGCCUCUGGAGAUCCACAUUAUAACACUUUUGAUCACAGAAUUCAUCAUUUCAUGGGAAAUUGCACUUACACCCUCUCCAAAGUGUG